This 646-nucleotide unclassified non-coding RNA is filed under the name Hevea brasiliensis (rubber tree). Lineage: Eukaryota; Viridiplantae; Streptophyta; Magnoliopsida; Malpighiales; Euphorbiaceae. The record is from RNAcentral.
GUAGUCAAAACAUGCUUUGAAAUCUGCCAAGUCAUCUUCGGUUUGCUCUGCAAUUUUGUAAUAGUGAAGCAAUGAAGCAAGUAAACAACUAUUUCAAUACCACAUGCACAAUUAUGCUCCCAUCCAAUAACAUAUCUUUAUGAAAGUGCACCUCCUAUCAAUACUAACAGGCAAAGAAGAAAACUACUAAUCCAAAAUGUCUUAAAGAUCAUAUUAGCAUUAUUGCCUUUAUGCAAAUAUUGCAUUCAAUAGAUACUGAUAACCCAAUCUAAGAGAAUUAAGGUGGGAAAACGGUGCAAAAAGAAGCUGUAGAGUUUGUUUACAUACAAUUCUUGAAAGCAAGUGCUAGUUAUAUUCCUUGGCAGCGUGUUAACAAGGCAGCAAUUAACAGAACUAAGCUCCCACAUUCAGGGCCAGUCCAAAAGCUUCUUCUUUUUGUUUUUUUCCUGCUUCUCAGCCCCUUUUAUGUUUGCAGGCAAUUCAUUGAAUAACGUUCUUUAUGCUUAUUUAACAUAGAAAAGAAUUUCACAAUUGAAAAGCAAACUCAAAACUACAAAAUCUUGCAAAGGCACUAAGAUUCUCUCCCUCAGAGAAUGAAUAAUACGAUCAAAAGAACACCUGAUUACUCAACCCAAAAAAAAAAAAA